RNAcentral lists this transfer RNA (64 nucleotides) under Siphluriscus chinensis. Its description in RNAcentral is "tRNA-Phe". It matches the Rfam family "tRNA". From Rfam's summary of the family: Transfer RNA (tRNA) molecules are approximately 80 nucleotides in length. Their secondary structure includes four short double-helical elements and three loops (D, anti-codon, and T loops). The record is from RNAcentral. Lineage: Eukaryota; Metazoa; Arthropoda; Insecta; Ephemeroptera; Siphlonuridae.
GUUUAAGUAGCUUAUUAGAGCAUAACAUUGAAGAUGUUAGGGAGGUUGUUCAAACCUUUAGACA